This is a small nuclear RNA of Heteronotia binoei (common prickly gecko), 104 nucleotides long. Lineage: Eukaryota; Metazoa; Chordata; Lepidosauria; Squamata; Gekkonidae. The record is from RefSeq and is a predicted model, not a curated record.
UUGCUCACGUUGGCAGCACAUAUACUAAAACUGGAAUGAUACAGAGAAGAUUAACAUGGCUGUUGCUGAAUGUCACAUCUGUGAGGGAAGUCAACUCGCAUUCA